Molecule: ribosomal RNA, 305 nt
Filed under: uncultured bacterium
Lineage: Bacteria
Description: bacterial SSU rRNA
Rfam family: Bacterial small subunit ribosomal RNA
Source: RNAcentral
GCCUACGGGGCGCAGCAGUGAGGAAUAUUGGUCAAUGGACGGAAGUCUGAACCAGCCAUGCCGCGUGCAGGAUGACGGCUCUAUGAGUUGUAAACUGCUUUUGUAUUAGGGUAAACACCCCUACGUGUAGGGGCUUGAAAGUAUAAUACGAAUAAGGAUUGGCUAACUCCGUGCCAGCAGCCGCGGUAAUACGGAGGAUGCGAGCGUUAUCCGGAUUUAUUGGGUUUAAAGGGUGCGCAGGCGGCGAGUUAAGUCAGCGGUAAAAUUUCGGGGCUCAACCCCGACGAGCCGUUGAAACUGGCUUG